Molecule: ribosomal RNA, 255 nt
Filed under: uncultured bacterium
Lineage: Bacteria
Description: partial 16S ribosomal RNA
Rfam family: Bacterial small subunit ribosomal RNA
Source: RNAcentral
UACGAAGGGGGCUAGCGUUGCUCGGAAUCACUGGGCGUAAAGGGUGCGUAGGCGGGUCUUUAAGUCAGGGGUGAAAUCCUGGAGCUCAACUCCAGAACUGCCUUUGAUACUGAAGAUCUUGAGUUCGGGAGAGGUGAGUGGAACUGGCGAGUGUAGAGGUGAAAUUCGUAGAUAUUCGCAAGAACACCAGUGGCGAAGGCGGCUCACUGGCCCGAUACUGACGCUGAGGCACGAAAGCGUGGGGAGCAAACAGGG